This 200-nucleotide unclassified non-coding RNA is filed under the name Helotiales sp. RNAcentral's name for it is "partial internal transcribed spacer 2". The record is from RNAcentral. Lineage: Eukaryota; Fungi; Ascomycota; Leotiomycetes; Helotiales.
UUAAGUUCAGCGGGUAUCCCUGCCUGAUUCGAGGUCAACCAUAGAAAAUUGGGGGUUGCUGGCCAGCAUCCACCGGGACUCACACGCGAGGGUAUAAUUACUACGCGUAGAGCUCGAUGGCGCCGCCACUAUUUUAAGGCCAGCCGUUGCCGGCAGGGCCCAAGACAAGCCUGUGCUUGAGGGUUGAAAUGACGCUCGAA